CCCUUUGUUGUCCGACUCUGUUGCCUCGGGGGCGACCCUCCCUUCGGGCGGGGGCUCCGGGUGGACACUUCAAACUCUUGCGUAACUUUGCAGUCUGAGUAAACUUAAUUAAUAAAUUAAAACUUUUAACAACGGAUCUCUUGGUUCUGGCAUCGAUGAAGAACGCAGCGAAAUGCGAUAAGUAAUGUGAAUUGCAGAAUUCAGUGAAUCAUCGAAUCUUUGAACGCACAUUGCGCCCCCUGGUAUUCCGGGGGGCAUGCCUGUUCGAGCGUCAUUUCACCACUCAAGCCUCGCUUGGUAUUGGGCAACGCGGUCCGCCGCGUGCCUCAAAUCGACCGGCUGGGUCUUCUGUCCCCUAAGCGUUGUGGAAACUAUUCGCUAAAGGGUGUUCGGGAGGCUACGCCGUAAAACAACCCCAUUUCUAAGG
This 427-nucleotide ribosomal RNA is filed under the name Cladosporium cladosporioides. RNAcentral describes it as "eukaryotic LSU rRNA". The stretch from base 121 to 274 matches the Rfam family "5.8S ribosomal RNA". Lineage: Eukaryota; Fungi; Ascomycota; Dothideomycetes; Cladosporiales; Cladosporiaceae. The record is from RNAcentral.